RNAcentral lists this transfer RNA (92 nucleotides) under Microtetraspora sp. NBRC 16547. Its description in RNAcentral is "tRNA-Ala". Lineage: Bacteria; Bacillati; Actinomycetota; Actinomycetes; Streptosporangiales; Streptosporangiaceae. The record is from RNAcentral.
AGGUCGGCGUCGGGGACGGCCGCCAGCGCGCCGAUCGCGGUGGCGGCGCCGCUCGCGGCGAUCUCGCCGGGGUCGCUGCCCAGGCCGACGUG